Molecule: small nuclear RNA, 166 nt
Organism: Tetranychus urticae (two-spotted spider mite)
Lineage: Eukaryota; Metazoa; Arthropoda; Arachnida; Trombidiformes; Tetranychidae
Rfam family: U1 spliceosomal RNA
About the family: U1 is a small nuclear RNA (snRNA) component of the spliceosome (involved in pre-mRNA splicing). Its 5' end forms complementary base pairs with the 5' splice junction, thus defining the 5' donor site of an intron.
Source: Rfam
AUACUUACCUGGCUCCGAGAACCCCGUGAUCAAAAAGGCGGGGACUCCGGGUCGAGGCCCUCUCAUUGCACUCCGAGGGUGGCUGAAGCCCGCCACUAACUCAAAACGAGCUAGAUGGGGAGUGAAAUUUUUGGUAGCGGGGUGUUUGCGUUCGCGCAGCGCCCCA